GAGAAGCGAAACUGCGAAGUGGAGCAAAACUCUAAAAAAACAAUCUCAGUUCAGAUUGCAGGCUGCAACUCGCCUGCAUGAAGUCGGAAUUGCUAGUAAUCGUAGGUCAGCAUACUACGGUGGAUACGUUCCCGGGCCUUGUACACACCGCCCGUCAAACCAUGAGAGUUGGCAACACCCGAAGUCGGUAGUCUAACCGCAAGGAGGACGCCGCCGAAGGUGGGGUUGAUGAUUAGGGUUAAGUCGUAACAAGGUACC
RNAcentral lists this ribosomal RNA (258 nucleotides) under uncultured bacterium. RNAcentral's name for it is "partial 16S ribosomal RNA". It matches the Rfam family "Bacterial small subunit ribosomal RNA", at positions 1244 to 1500 of the family's 1533-position model. The record is from RNAcentral.